This 253-nucleotide ribosomal RNA is filed under the name uncultured bacterium. RNAcentral's name for it is "partial 16S ribosomal RNA". It matches the Rfam family "Bacterial small subunit ribosomal RNA", at positions 524 to 776 of the family's 1533-position model. The record is from RNAcentral.
GACAGAGGGUGCAAACGUUGCUCGGAAUCACUGGGCGUAAAGGGCGUGUAGGCGGGAAGGUAAGUCAGAUGUGAAAUCCCCAGGCUCAACCUGGGAACUGCAUUUGAAACUCCCUUUCUUGAGUACCGGAGAGGAAAGUGGAAUUCCUGGUGUAGAGGUGAAAUUCGUAGAUAUCAGGAGGAACACCAGUGGCGAAGGCGGCUUUCUGGACGGUAACUGACGCUGAGACGCGAAAGCGUGGGGAGCAAACAGG